Molecule: ribosomal RNA, 483 nt
Filed under: Otostigmus scaber
Lineage: Eukaryota; Metazoa; Arthropoda; Chilopoda; Scolopendromorpha; Scolopendridae
Description: partial 16S ribosomal RNA
Rfam family: Bacterial large subunit ribosomal RNA
Source: RNAcentral
GGUUUUUUGGAAUUAAUAAAAAAUCUAACCUGCUCGAUGAUUUUAAAUGGCCGCGGUAUUUUGACCGUGCGAAGGUAGCAUAAUAAGUAGUCUAUUAAAUGUGGUCUGGAAUGAAAGGUUGAACGGAGAAUAACUUUUUUUGUAUUAAAUGUGAAGUUGAAUUAUUAGUAAAAAUGCUAAUAUUUUUAAGAGGGACGAGAAGACCCUAUAGAGCUUAAUAUAUUUAGGAAGUGGUGGAAAUUCUGAAAUAUAUUUUGUUGGGGCGACAAUUAGUAUAAACAUAAAAUAUAAAAUCUUUAUAUUAGGUAUAUAGAUCCAUUAUUAAUGAUUAUAGAUUAAGUUACCUUAGGGAUAACAGCGUAAUUUUAUUAUAGAGUUCUUAUCGAUGAUAAAGUUUGCGACCUCGAUGUUGGAUUAGAAUUCCUUUAAAGCGCAGGAGUUUUAUAAGGUAGUCUGUUCGACUAUUAAAAUUCUACAUGAUCU